GCGGAUGUAGUUUAAUGGUAAAACGGCGGCUUCCCAAGCCGCAGUCGGGGGUUCGAUUCCCCUCAUCCGCUCCA
This 74-nucleotide transfer RNA is filed under the name Bacillota bacterium. RNAcentral's name for it is "tRNA-Gly". It matches the Rfam family "tRNA". Rfam says of the family: Transfer RNA (tRNA) molecules are approximately 80 nucleotides in length. The record is from RNAcentral. RNAcentral also lists the same sequence under 1 other name. Lineage: Bacteria; Bacillati; Bacillota.